RNAcentral lists this ribosomal RNA (422 nucleotides) under uncultured bacterium. RNAcentral's name for it is "bacterial SSU rRNA". It matches the Rfam family "Bacterial small subunit ribosomal RNA", at positions 355 to 774 of the family's 1533-position model. The record is from RNAcentral.
UAAGGAAUAUUGGUCAAUGGAGGCAACUCUGAACCAGCCAUGCCGCGUGAAGGAUUAAGGCCCUCUGGGUUGUAAACUUCUUUUAUAUGGGAAGAAAUGUUCUGAUUCUUCAGAGCUUGACGGUACCAUAGGAAUAAGCACCGGCUAACUCCGUGCCAGCAGCCGCGGUAAUACGGAGGGUGCAAGCGUUAUCCGGAUUCACUGGGUUUAAAGGGUGCGUAGGUGGGCAGAUAAGUCAGUGGUGAAAUCUUCCGGCUUAACCGGGAAACUGCCGUUGAUACUAUUUGUCUUGAAUAUUGCGGAGGUAAGCGGAAUAUGUCAUGUAGCGGUGAAAUGCUUAGAUAUGACAUAGAACACCAAUUGCGAAGGCAGCUUACUACACAAUCAUUGACACUGAGGCACGAAAGCGUGGGUAGCGAACA